AACGAACGCUGGCGGCAUGCCUAACACAUGCAAGUCGAACGAGACCUUCGGGUCUAGUGGCGCACGGGUGCGUAACGCGUGGUAACCUGCCCUUAGGUUCGGAAUAACUCCCCGAAAGGUGUGCUAAUACCGGAUAAUGUCUUCGGACCAAAGAUUUAUCGCCUUUGGGUGGGCCCGCGUUGGCUUAGCUAGUUGGUAGGGUAAAAGCCUACCAAGGCGACGAUCCAUAGCUGGUCUGAGAGGAUGAUCAGCCACACUGGGAAUGCGACACGGCCCAGACUCCUACGGGAGGCAGCAGUGGGGAAUAUUGGACAAUGGGCGAAAGCCUGAUCCAGCAAUGCCGCGUGAGUGAUGAAGGCGUUAGGGUUGUAAAGCUCUUUUACCCGGGAUGAUAAUGACAGUACCGGGAGAAUAAGCUCCGGCUAACUCCGUG
Molecule: ribosomal RNA, 433 nt
Filed under: uncultured bacterium
Lineage: Bacteria
Description: partial 16S ribosomal RNA
Rfam family: Bacterial small subunit ribosomal RNA
Source: RNAcentral